GACAGGAAGAAUGCAGGAUGUGACAAUGAGCUGUGUGUGGGGCUGGGCACACACACAAUGGGCAAACAUUGAGUAGAGACGGGGAGACUGAAAUGUCAGUAACAGGCGACAGCACUCUUCAGCACUCUUCGGUUUCUUCUAAACUGCACUGAGGUUCAUGGUUCUGAACACUUGGAGUCUGAGAGAUGGGCCUUGAGGAUGACGUCCCAGCCUCCUGACCCACAGGGGUGAUGCCAUACACUCCCGCCACCACCAAGAGAGCCCAGCUGCCAUGAACUGCACUGUGCUUUCCCAGCCAUGAUGGAAUAUUCCUAACUGCAGCCUAAAAAGGACCAGCCUACACCCAAAAGGUGAAAAGAAGCAAUGUGCCUAAGGACAAGAUAUGAAGGUGCCCCUUCAGUGAGGUGUCAGUCAGCUAAGCUGGCCUUGGCGCUUUUGCAGCUAGACCACGUUGUGGCUUCUUGUCUACUCCUGAUGUCUUCUUCCUGCCGUGAUUGCUCCUGGGCUGGUUGGUCGACCACUUGACUCCUUCCACAACCCCAUUAGACUGGAGUGACUUGGGGUGUCAAACUCUACCAGGAGUGACUGGGGCACCUUCUCGGGCCCCUUGGGAGCUGGGGACCUGCCAUGUGGUCAGCUGAGAUGCAUCUGGCUGCCACGUUGCUUUCAUAGCUUGCCUGCCAGCCCCCCAGCUCUCUGGGUCACUCCUCUUCUGAUGUUGCCACCAUACUCGGCUCAGUUACCACGCUACUGGAGGUUACCAGCUCAGCCCACACUACUGGAGCACAGUCCUCCUGGUCUCUGGCUCAAGGAACCUUACCCAGCUUCAGAGCUCCAGGCAACGCCAUGAGGCCUCCUGUUCUCAACAAUGGAAUCUGCCCCAUACAGGAGAACUGGUGAAGACGUUAGGGCCUGACCCGAUGGCCAAGGACACUGUCUGACCUGGUCUGAAUGCAGCACCCUUCCCAAAUUCACACAUCAACAUUACAUCAUUAAUGUGCUGGGAUGAACAGGUGGAGCUUGAGGAAGCUGAAGAUGAGACUCAGGGACAACUCUCAGCAAAUGAGGUCGUGACCUCUUGUCUUCUUGCCAGAUGAGGAUCCAGCGCUCACCUCUUCUUGGAGAAGCAGCAGUUAAGGAGCCUGAAGAGAAUGGUAGCAUUUCAGGCUGUCCCUGGAGCCAGCCACCCCCACUGCCGCCAGCAGACCCUCUGCAUUUGGAAGUCCUUUCCCUCAAUGUGUUCUCCCUCUGUGUAUCAGUGCGGUGCCCUUACAGAGAUCCUUGCGGCUGUGUGAAGCAUCAUCACCAUGGCUGCCUCUGCCUGCAUCUUUCCUCAUAGAAUUUAUCACCGCCCGGCAUGCAACAACAGCUAAUCUUGGUUCACCUCCUUCUCCCAGCAGACUGCAGUGUGCCCGAGGGGCCAGGCUUUGAAUGAGCAGUCCUUCAAGUGUGCCUGACCGACAGCAAGCAUCGGGAAGCUAUUGAACGGAUGAACACAGAAGGCAGGUAGGAGGGGGCAGCGUGAUGGAGGAGGAAGAUUGGAGUUCAACCAUGAGUCCCCCCAUAGUCAAGCACCAGGGCAUUCACGGAAGGGUGGCCUGUAUCUUACACAGUUGACCACAAGCUGCUCUCUGACGAACUCAGCAGCAAGCUCACUAUGUCCCUUCCAGAAUAAUCUCUGAGGUUAAGAGAAAGGUGUGUCAACAGGAAGUCAUGCUGAACUUAAAAACCAUCUGCUUUGGUCUUUUCUGCUCACAGCCCAGAUACCGGACACACAGCCAAGACUGAAACAGCAGUGACUGGCCAAAGCCAUUGGUUGUCUUAAUGACUGCUUUCGGUCAUUAAGAUGCCUGGAUUGGAUUUAUCGCCAACGAGCGGAUCGAUUACUUGGUGCUCAUCUGCAAUCUAAGCCUUUCUGUGUCUCCACUUCGGUUAUUUCAUUAAGAUGGAUGGGCUGGUGAUGCCACACCCCCUGGGAAGCUGGGCUGGAGAGCUCUGCCUGAAUGGAGCAUUAGAGAGAGAAAAAUAAACCGGGCCUAGGGAAGGAAGAAGGGCCGCGCGGUACGAGGCUCUUAGUUCACAUCCGGUGGUGCUGGGUGAGCCACUCAGCCUGCAGCUGCUGGUGAUAGCUCAUGCUGAGGGUCGCAUGGUCUUUCAGGGGGGUUGUCUACGUUUGCUGAGUGUGGAUGCAGCUUUGUGGAGGUUUUUAGGACUCUAUUUUCCAGUCUUGGAGUGUCUUCCUGUGCCAAAAUCUGUCUUUGUUCUAGCAUGGAUCUCUGUCAUGUUCUGGAAGGGUCAUCCUGCCACGACAGACUUUUCUGGGGAAACUAAACGUCCUCAUGUCCGUUGUUUGUGCUUCUUGAAGCAGCUACAAUAAAAUAAAAGCACAGAAUUAGCCUGAGCCUUGUGGUGGUCUUAUGAGAAUUGUCCCCAUAGGAUCCUAUGUUUAAAUGCUUGGUCCCUAGUUAGUGGAACAAUUUGGAAAGGAUUAGGAGGU
RNAcentral lists this small RNA (2497 nucleotides) under Rattus norvegicus (Norway rat). RNAcentral's name for it is "uncharacterized LOC102555798". The record is from RNAcentral. Lineage: Eukaryota; Metazoa; Chordata; Mammalia; Rodentia; Muridae.